Molecule: long non-coding RNA, 3642 nt
Organism: Betta splendens (Siamese fighting fish)
Lineage: Eukaryota; Metazoa; Chordata; Actinopteri; Anabantiformes; Osphronemidae
Exons: 2
Source: RefSeq, a predicted model, not a curated record
UUAACUGACUCAUUUACACAAUAAAAGCGAGUUAUAGUGACGUCACACUGCUAUGAAGCGCUCUCAGUGCGUUUCGGUUCAACGUGAACGUCCGCUUCCUGUUUGGACGGUCACGUGAUCGGCCGCUGUCCUCGCGCUGCGGGACUCGGAGGAAAUCCCACUGGAGCGCGCUGCUCGGCUGCGUCUCCUGCUCAAGUUUAAUAUUUGAUGAAAUUAGUUCUGCUCGCUGCGUCUGUGCUCGUACUUCUGCUCGGUGCCUCGCAGCCAGAAUUUGCCUUUUUAGUUAAUGAUUAGUGUGUUUCACCCGCAAUAAGUCAUGAUUUAAAGCUACUGACGCUGUUUACCUUAAGAAAAUAUUGAUUUAACCUGAAAACCAACAUUACGAAAUACACAGUGUAUGCAAUUUAGACAAUAGGCAGCUUCCACCUGAAGACGAGGAGCUUAGAGGCAGCGGGAGAAUCGGACUUGAACUCGUGUUUGGACUGGAGUCCAGUGAUUGAUGCACGGCCGCUCCUCUGUCCAUCCGCUGUCACCACUCUCACGCCUCUGAGAGAAAAGGCUGCUCCUCAACCUGCGCUCAUGUGCACGACUUUGGAAUAGUUUUACCUACAGGGAAAAUACGAUGGAGAGAGUUCAGAGGUCAGUGACACAUCUGGCGCUGCCUUCGAGUGCCCCCGUUGGUAAAACCUCCACAAACACGUUCCUCCAGUCCAGUGAGUGCAGGUGUCACUGUUGAACUGAACCCGAGCUGUUCGCUGUCUUUUAGCCGAUCUUCGCAGCCGUGAAGUCGCGUGUAACAGAAACAGCAGAACGCGUUUGUGUUUCACCGCCGAGCGGCGGGAGGCCGGCUGCUGCGUUUAGGUGCAACGGGACGUUCCAGCAUCAGCCAAGGGCGUCAGAGUUACAGGCGAGUCUGAUCCUUAUCUAAAGGUCUUCCUGUAUUUGAAAUCUGCACAAGCUGCUACACAUUGUUCCUUAGAUCCUGCAGAUGUGUGCAACACAAUGACACCGAGCUCUGGCCCGUUUUCUCUUUUUACUUUCCAUCAGUCCUUUUCAUUCAAACUAUGAACCGAUUUAAACGUUUUUAGUUUAUUUGCAGGCGAGGAUUCUUGGAUUGAGGAAGCAGCAAAGUGGCUGCUUCCUCAAUCCACAGAUUUGGCACCGACGUCCACAUUUCAUAAUAUUUUCAUCAUUCUGUGUCCACUAAGGACGUUUGGCUUCGCUCCCAGCUGUUUAUCAGUCUGGCAUUCAACACGAUAUCUGUUACGUUUCAGGAGAACAUUGUGAGACGCUUUUGGAAAAAGUUGUUUGUUUUGUCUUAUAAAAGCACUGAAACCGCGCUGGCAUCAUGUGUGUUGGAACAUUUUCUGCAACAACAAACUGAGGAAAUUGCUCUGUUUUAGCAGAUACUUCUUAUUUUUUAAACAUUUUGCGGCGUUAGUAGCGAUCAUUUAUCAUCUGGGGGACUUCGUUCGGAGGUUCCAGCAGUUCCAGUGACAGAAGCACCAGACACCACAGCUGUGGAUCCAAACGAAGCGCCUUCGUCUUCUUCUCCGGCGCGUUGUUGUGCUUCGCUGCCUCUGGUGGAGUCAUCGGCCUCCUGCUGUGAGAGACAAACAAAAUGGAGGCCGAACCUUCCCACCUUCUACACUGGUGGAUUGAAGCGCGCUGAGACGUUUGUGUACGUGGUCGUUGCAGUGGUUUGUGAUGUUUGUUUGUGUCCUGUUCCUAUAGCAACAACAGACGCCUGCUUCAAUAAGAACUUGAUCAGAUUUAGCAUUUUUAGCCCGUUAGAAAUGAGCUGCAAUGAGAUUCUUUCCUCCUCCCCCACAGAGCAACAGCGUAUUUGUUCCUCUCACAUCACAUGUGAUGUUGUGUCCUGUGUUGUGGAUCCCGUCGUUCCCGCCAACAAUCUUUGCCCCAUUUUCCUCUGCAUCAUUAUGUUGUUUUGCUUCUUCCCGGCUUUGGCCGUUUCCCACCCACUUCAUGUCCCCCUGAGAAGCUGGCAGCAGACGUUCAGAUCCCUCCAACCUCUGCUAUCUGGGAAUCUGCUGCCCUUUGGUUUAAAUAGCAGAACCCUCUGUGGCCCAAAUUCCAUCCACAAACAGGAAGCGAGGACCUUAUUGCUGAGGGAGGAUGUUGCUCGGUGUUUAUUUUUGCAGCUUGUUUCGCCACAUAAGAAACAUGAAAAUCAGAUCAUUUGGUCCAAGUCAAUUCCCAAUAUCAUUAAAUAUACUCUGCACGAUCUUUAUUAAUUUCUAUUUUUAUUUCAUGUGACUGUGCUUUGGGAAUGUGGUUGUUUAUCCGUAAUCUCAGUGGAGUUAUUUUUCUUUCAUUUGCUCAUUCUGAUCAGAUGGUCCCAGUGGGGGAACCUCUUCAGCAUUUCCUGUUGUUCAGAGCGUUAAGUGUAGGAGUUUCUUAUCAUAAUAAGACUUUGUUUGAGAGUCUGUAUCAGCACGUUAUUAGAACAACAACAGGCUCAAAGUCAUUUUGCCUCUAAAAGACCCAAAAGUGUGAGACAGAGACGAGUCCGCGGCUGCCAAGAAGAAAAGAGCCAUUUGUUUUUAUUUCUGAGCUGCAAACAAUAUGCAGCACAUGUUCUCACGGUAGUCUCUCAAUCUGCCAGCUCUUGUGGAACAUAGUUUUGUUUUCUGCUGUGGAUGAAGCAAUAAACACAGUCCCUGCCGGCUCUGGCUUUGUUGUCAUUGUAGGAAGCAUAACAGCUGAGCCAGUGAACUGGGGUUACUGCGUUCCACCAGCGUCAGGAGAAGGGAAGACGUCGCCUUCAGAUCAUUCCUGCUAAUGUGAAGAACACAAACAGCCUCAGUGGUCGAUGUCAUCAUCAUCACGGACGAGUGCGAGGCUCUGCCCUCAAGUUUACAGCUCCUUUAACUGUUGUCUGGCGUGAAACUAUUAUGAGGAUCGACUCAGCUCAGGGCCGAUUAGCUGUAGCGCUGUUUAUUAGCUUCAUUUCAUUCCUGUCUGCCAGAGGCCAGAAUGCAAACUUGAAGGUUUGAGCUAGUUCAUAACCACAAAGUGAGACGUUGUUGGUCAAAGCAGCUCAACCAGUAUUUUAUGUUGAGCCAAAAGACAACGUGAAAAAACAGACUUUUGAGUGAUGAAGCUUAAGCGAAUCGCUGACUUUUGCUCCACUCUGCCCGUAUCGCUGUCGAUGCGGACCAUCGUCUGUUUACACCUGACUCCCAGAAUCAGUCGACCGAUCGGCCGCUCACCAGUCGAAGCCCAUGGAGCUUGAAGCCGGGACGCUUCGAUCUGCUCCCGCGGGACCGAUGCGUUAGCGACCGUCGCCGCUCUGCUGCGUCGUCUCCCGGUCUCAGCUCAGCCAGGCAGCGUUAGCAGCCGGUGAACAGGCAGCUGUAGGCCAGGAAAUCAGCUGUUUGAUGAUGCUUUUGAUCACUUUACAUUCAUCGUGUGUUAAUUACUGCCCCCAAGGGGCCAAAAGCACAGGCGCUGCAGCUUUAAACACAAGCGUGAACAAUUACAUAUGUGUGGUGAAACUUCACGUGUUUGCAUAAAGCAAGUGUCUAUUAAAAACCUGUCUCCUGUGAAAGUUCCUUCUGGAUAAUUGCAUCUCCCACUAAGGUGAAGGAGUCUGCAGCUGUAAAACAUGAAGGCAAAGCU